UAUGGAUAUCCAUACAGAGCUGAUGCAAAUCAGAAGCGUCUAAGAUCAUUGAGAUGCUAGCUCUCUUGCAAAUCUUCCUCUUUUAAAUUGGAUCUCCUUCUUCGAUUUUCGUAGAAGACAAUCUGAAGAUGUAUACACGAUCUUCUUUUGCGUAGGAUUGGAAAAAAUAGAGAUACAAUGAGAGAACUCAUCUCCCUUUCCUUUUUCUCUCACCCUCUCUGAUUUUUCUCUCUCUUUGUUG
Molecule: long non-coding RNA, 241 nt
Filed under: Elaeis guineensis (African oil palm)
Lineage: Eukaryota; Viridiplantae; Streptophyta; Magnoliopsida; Arecales; Arecaceae
Description: long non-coding RNA (EGUI_LNC053747)
Source: RNAcentral